AUGGGAGUAUGCUGCUGCAUCGGUAGAUCCAGGUGUCUUCCACAAAUUGAAGUCACAGGGACACAGCAGGCAGCAAAGGCCACUAGAGGUCACACAAACUAUUUAAAAGAACAUGAACAAGCAGGUCAAAGUGAUUCCUUCCAACCGGACAGAGAAGCACACAAGAGGAAGAAAGAAGACAGAGCACUGCAGACUUGCCAAGAGCUGAAGUGUCCAUUCCCUCCACUCAGUGUACAAAAUAGCUAAAAAUUCUGUUUAGAAACAAAUGAAAAUACACAUGGGAUUAUUUUAAUCCUCUACUUUAUUUUAGGUAGAGUUAACAUUUGUCAAGAACAUCCCUGAUAAUUAGUUCUCUGGACAUUGAUUCAGGUUGCUUUUGACUCCUGUUUCUUCCUAAUACUUUUAGUCAUGUUACAUGACAGCAGCUAGCCUCAUGUCUGGUAUGCUAAAUAUGGUGUUUGUCUACCUUCAUCUGACUCAGUUCAGUGGUGAGAGUGAUCCAUGUGUUGGUACUAAUGAUGAGGCUCAUAUAGGUAGUAGUGGAUGAGAUAAGGCUUUACUGUUGUAUGAAAAUAACUGUUUUGGAAUAUUGCAAACUAUUCAUUAGGACCACUUUUACUUACUCAGUUUUUUAAAGAACAUGGAGUGAGUGAGCAAACACCCACAAGAAAACAGAGCUGUAGUACACCUGGUAAUCAGAAAGGACCCAAAGUCACUUUUACAGCCUUAAGACUUGAGGUUCCUGCUGUCCUUGACAAAAGCAAAAGCUCUAAAUAUCAAGCCCCUUAUAUCAGUCCCUUUCAAGAUUCUUUAGGCUUCUCUGCACUGGACUUUUUAGAAGCACAGAAAAAUUUGGAUAUAAAAGUAGGUGUCUCAUAUUCAUUAAUAUCUUUUGUGUUUACCAGUGACCACAGCAAACUAUUCCUUUGGCUGAAGCCUCCAGUAAGUGAGCUAAUGAUCAAUUAAAACAUCUCUAAAGCUUUAAUGCUUUGUACUGCACCACAGGAAUUCCCAAAGGAAGGAGGAAGAAGCACAGGAUUUAGUUUUAUGCAGCAAGAAAGAGUGGGACAUAGAUUAAUUUCCUUUCCCCCUAUAGCAAGGGUCUUUUGGAUAUCAUAAAUAAUUUGAAAUGAAAGUCUGAAGAAUGCAGUCAGCUCACAUGGAAUGUUACCAGAUGGUUUUUAGUUAAAUAGUUGAUUAUGGAAAAAGGAGAAAUAUUAGUUACCAGUUGCAGAUUUGUAGUUUCCCUUGUAACCAAAAUAAACAGUUUAUGAAAAUAUAGAGUGGGAUAAUUUUUUUCUUUAACCUAAGUCACUU
Molecule: long non-coding RNA, 1317 nt
Filed under: Catharus ustulatus (Swainson's thrush)
Lineage: Eukaryota; Metazoa; Chordata; Aves; Passeriformes; Turdidae
Description: lncRNA (ENSCUSG00005006359.1)
Source: RNAcentral